CGCCCCGGGACGAAGCUCUCGGCAGCUAGUCCCGCCUCAGGACCGCGCCGCCGGCUCCACCCGACCGCGCUCCCCCUCACGCUCCGGGCAACCCCGCCCCCGUCCGGCGCGCACACGACCCCGGGGGCACGGCGGUGCCGGUAGCGCCGCCCGGCGGAGGGACACGGCGCCACCGGUAGCGCCGCCAUGCGUUAUUCCGGUGCGUGAGCUACGAGCAGCCCCGCUGCCGACCACCAACUUCCCAGUGCGGGGGGCGCGAGACUCUCUAACAAGUCAACCCCAGCGCAGGGCGGCUUCCUGCUGUACGAGGGCUCCCGUCGCGCCGCUGCUCUCCGCCUUUCGGCCGGCCCUCCUCCGCCCGGCGCCCCCAGUGGAGUUACCUCGCCCGUCACCAUAGCCCGGCGGGUCGCUGUUGGCGGCCAUAACAGUUUCCAUCCGGGGACUGCGGAGCUGCGAGCCUAGAGCUGGGGGCGGCCGUCGCGGAGGGAUACGCGUUCACCUGGUGCGGGCGGACGGCGGCCGACGAGGCCCACGGGAUGGAGCGCUGGGGGAGGAGGCACCGCCCGGGGGCGGGGGCCCUGCCGGCCUCUCCUCCUCUUGGGCUGAGGAAGCUGAGGCUUCCUGUGUCCCGGCCUUGGGCCGCGUCGGCCUGGUGCCGGCCCGAGGCCUGCAGGCCAGGUGGCAGCGAGCAGCCCGGCGCCACGGGCGUUUCCUGACAGGCUCCCCCAGCGCCCACAUCCGCUCUCCGACAGCCUUAAGCCAUGAGUGAAUCAACGAAGUGAUUAGUCAAAUUGCAAAUAUGUGCUGCUACUGUUUUGGAGGAACUGAAAACCAACUGCAGCUGAAGAAAAGAAUGAGAAAAAGUAAAGGAAAAAAAAGAAACAGUCUAAUUCUAUCUACAGUCCUAAAGAUGCAAAAGACAACAAGGAAGAAUUACCGUGACAAUGGACAAGUGGCUACAGUUGAACUUGUGUGAAAAUGUUACUUUUCCUUAUCGGAAAGUGAAAAUAUGAAUUGUAUUGUCAGUUACACGUCCCACCAAAAUGCAUGAAGACACAAAUAAAUAUUUAAUCUGUGGUGAAUCAUUUUGUGAUAUAAAUUCAGACCACAUA
RNAcentral lists this long non-coding RNA (1112 nucleotides) under Gallus gallus (chicken). RNAcentral's name for it is "long non-coding RNA NONGGAT008192". Lineage: Eukaryota; Metazoa; Chordata; Aves; Galliformes; Phasianidae. The record is from RNAcentral.